This is a long non-coding RNA of Patella vulgata (common limpet), 3599 nucleotides long. RefSeq lists it as uncharacterized. The record is from RefSeq and is a predicted model, not a curated record. NCBI's taxonomy places the organism in Eukaryota, Metazoa, Mollusca, Gastropoda, Patellidae. The transcript is spliced from 3 exons.
AUAGACCACAUAAUGUCUACUGCAUACACAUGGAUAAAACAUCCUCCAGUGUUAUAUAUAACGCAUUGACGUCGAUUGUGUCAUGUCUUCCCAAUGUAUUCAUGGCUUCAAGACGAGUAGAUGUCAUAUGGGGACAAUUCAGUGUUCUGGAACAAGAGAUCGUAUGUCUAAGAGAUCUGUAUGAACAUAAAGUAAAAUGGCGAUAUGUGAUCAAUUUAACUGGCCAAGAAUAUCCAUUGAAAACAAAUUAUCAACUUGUUAAAAUACUACAAGCUUAUAAAGGUGCUAAUGAUAUACAGGGUUCUACCAAGAUCUUGAACAGAGAUCGUGUUGCUGGUCGACCACCGGCGCCAGGUGGUAUUUCACCGUGUAAAGGAUCAUUGCAUUAUACAGCCUCUCGACAGUUUAUAGACUAUGUUCUACACAAUAAAACAGCUCAAGAUUUUCUGGAGUGGUGUAAGCUAAUUGGUAUACCUGAUGAAACUUAUUUCACUUCUUUAAACAACAAUAAACAUCUACAAAUACCAGGAUCAUACAUAGGAGAUCGCGAGAGGGGAGACAGGGAUUUUUUUUCCCGCUAUAAAAUCUGGUACGGUAAUCCGUUAUGUGGCAGCGGUUACUUUGUUCGAGAGGUGUGUAUUAUGGGAGUGGCGGAUUUACCUGCUUUGACCAAGGCACCGCAAUUAUUCGUCAAUAAACUACAUUAUUACUUUGAACCGUUGACAUUUGAUUGUUUAGAGGAAUGGUACAUGGAACAAGUGAAGUCAGAAAUGACAGGAAAUUUAGAUUUCAAUACAACUUUAUAUGAACAAAGUACAAUUGUGAAAUAUAAAUAUAUACCAUCGUGAUUCCGGUGUAAAACGAAUCAGGUGAUUUGAAAUUUGGGAACAACAGUGUCGUGACAAUUUUAUACCUUGUUGUUUGUAUAUUAUGUAACAUUUAGAUAAAAAGCUGGGGCCUGUUUCACGUUUAAUAAUUUGAUUGGAUAAUAUUAGAUUGAUUUUAGUGCUUAGUCAAUCAAAAUUAAAGUAUUUACUAAAAUUUAGAUUUUAUCUUUAGUUAAGAUUUCGAGAAACAGGGCCCAGAUCUUUAUUGCUAUAAUAGUUCCAAAAUAGAUAAUGAAAAAUGAAUGUAUAGAGAAUCUCCUACCAGUCUAUUUUUAUAUCUAAAAAUAUCAACACAAGUUGAUAAAGUAACAAAAAACGAUGCUCUGCCCAGUUUUUUUUUUACUUUAUCAACGAGUGUUGAUAUUUUUUGAUAUCAAAAAAGACGAGUAGGAGAUUUUAUUUAUCACCCAAUCCCUUCUUACAUGCACAAAUAGAUAAAUAUAAUUCUUUACUGUAGAUUUCACUUUUACUGAACAUUACGGCGGAGUGAUACAUUAUUUUUUGACAGCAAUUCAACCAUUGCAAAGUCCUUUAUAUUGACCCAGUGUUUCCAUCAAGGUCAAUUGAAUAACAAUAAAUGUAGUUCAUUCUUAAUUUAAAAAAAGUUAUUUUUAAUAAGAAAUGAACUGUUCUUUGAAAAUAAAAAAAGGAGUUCCUUUUCAACUGACCAAUCCAAUUCAUGUAAAGCGAUAUCACCUAAGGAGAUAUCGCAGUAGAUUAUGAAAUAUAUCACACAAGCGAUAUCUACUGUAGAAUGUAUUAUUGGGUGAUAAAUUGAAAAUAUCAUUCACAUUACUUCAUUCUGGGCGAAGUUAUGUCUGUUUAAAGGUGUAGCGUAGAUUGUUCAUUAUCGUUGUCUCAGUCACAAUUAUUCAUUUUAAAGUUAAAUCUUGCGGCAGUUCUAAUCCAUGUGUAUUACGCCCAUCCGAUGCUCUAUACAGCUGAUUAUAGGCUUGUAGCGUGCAUAUAGUUCCAAUCUGAUUAAAAACACAGACCCUAGAUUUCAUUUCGUUUUUAUAGUUCAAAUUUUGUUUUACUUGUGUUUACUACACUAGGAUCUGGAAGAGAUGUUAUCAUUGACGUGUUCUGAAUAGUGUGAGGUAUUAGCCAAUGAUACGGUCUGUUACGGGGAGCUUUAGGCGUGUUUUGCACGGAACUGUGAGUAAUUCGCUAGUAACAUCAAUGCUGAUUGGUUAAUCAAAUAUCUGACGUCAUAGGGUUAAAGGUUGCUCGUAUGACCUUUGACGUGACCUAUCGUAACUACCGGUCAGAUCUUCAUGUAGUGUAGCGCAUCGAAAGUAUAAAAAACAAACGAAAUAUAGAUCUGUAUUGUAAUCAGAUUGAUAUAUGUCUAAAUAAUAGUAUCCUGAUGAGCUCGAAAUUAAAAACACUACUGACAGUGACAAUUACGCUUCCUACUUGGAUCUGCGUCUCGAUUUUGACAAUUGCCAUAAACUUAGUGUGAAAUUGUACGAUAAACGUGAUGACUUUGACUUUCCGAUUGCUAACUUUCCAUUUAUUAGUAGUAACAUUCCAAUAUCACCAGCUUAUGCAGUGUUUGUGUCUCAACUUCUGAUUUUUUAAGUAGAUCGAGGCAUUUGUCAUCUAAGCUUCAACUACAGGGAUACUUGCGAACUAAACUUAUUAAAACCUUUAAAACGUUUUAUGGGCGUCAUAUUGACUUGAUUGGUAAAUAUAACAUGUCUCUCUCGGCUAUUAUUCUAGAUAUAUUUAAUUGACGCGUAUACAAUCUCCCUGAUAAUGUCUCUCUACUACAUCGUUAACACUGUUCAUCACGUGCAUUUUGCAUACAGAUAGUUCAUUGGCCAAUCACGCUAUUUUACCGAGAUUUCGCCUAAUAGUUUGGAUGCAGCUAUGGCGGUGUGGCGCCAGGCAGGGUGAGCUUACUCUUCCGGACACCUGUUACCACUGUUUGUCGUGUAUUUUGUACACGGUGAACAGUCCAUAUGCUGAUUACACUAUUUUGCCUUAUUACACUAUUUUGCCUAUACCGUUUUUUUAGGACUUCGAAUUUUGUCUAAUGGUUUGGAUUGUUCGUACUUGGUUUUGUUUUAUUUUAUUUUUAUAUAUAACGUUUGUCGACAAAAUAAUGAAAUGCAAUAUGUAGAGUUAGCCCUUAUACUUUAAACUGUAAGGGCAGCAUAGCUUUAAAUAAAUUAUGUUAAAGGGCGUAUCUAUGUUAUUAAUAGGAUGAAGGGCGUGACAAGGACAGCUGUCUAGCCGUUGGGAUGGCACGAAAAACCGAGGUCCCGUGUACACAUUGGCAUGCACGUAAAAGAUCCCUCGACAGUUGGAAUUCGAUAUAAGAGUAGGCCAUAGUGCCGCUGCCCGUGCAAAAGUUCCCUCAUAGCACACAGUAUGGCGUAUGCCCGUCUUCAUUAGCCCAGUCGGAGCAGAACAGUAGGACGUUGAAUCACAUUUCAUUUCAUUUUAUUUCUAGGUUAUUAAACCCCGAGAUUAGUCGCAACGGGACCAAAGAGCAUAUAUAAAUAUAAAAUGAAUAUAUUUAAACUGAAUUAGGCCUACAUUUAAUAUUGUUUACAUUAUAAUCAAUUAUGGCCUCUGGAAUACGUGAGCACUCGGAACUAGCUUAUAUAAUUGUAAUGUGAAUGUAUAUAAACUAAUUACGGCCCACACUCAGUUCUGUUUACAUUGUAAUCAGUUAUGGUCUUUGAAAUACGUGAGCAGUCC